This 253-nucleotide ribosomal RNA is filed under the name uncultured bacterium. RNAcentral describes it as "partial 16S ribosomal RNA". It matches the Rfam family "Bacterial small subunit ribosomal RNA", at positions 524 to 776 of the family's 1533-position model. The record is from RNAcentral.
GACGAACCGUGCGAACGUUGUUCGGAAUCACUGGGCUUAAAGGGCGCGUAGGCGGGCUUUCAAGUCUGCGGUGAAAUCCUCCGGCUCAACCGGAGAAGUGCCGUGGAUACUGGGAGCCUCGAGGAGGGUAGGGGCGUCUGGAACUUCCGGUGGAGCGGUGAAAUGCGUUGAGAUCGGAAGGAACGCCCGUGGCGAAAGCGAGGUCCUGGACGUCUACUGACGCUGAGACGCGAAAGCUAGGGGAGCAAACGGG